Non-coding RNA from Lupinus angustifolius (narrow-leaved blue lupine), 118 nucleotides. NCBI's taxonomy places the organism in Eukaryota, Viridiplantae, Streptophyta, Magnoliopsida, Fabales, Fabaceae. The record is from Rfam.
AUAUAUGUUGAUCCAUCACUAAUGCACCGGAUCCCAUCAGAACUCCACAGUUAAGUGUUCUUGGUUGAGAGUAGUACCAGGAUGAUUGACCUCCUGGGAAGUCCUCGUGUUGCACCUC